RNAcentral lists this ribosomal RNA (488 nucleotides) under uncultured bacterium. Its description in RNAcentral is "partial 16S ribosomal RNA". It matches the Rfam family "Bacterial small subunit ribosomal RNA", at positions 30 to 507 of the family's 1533-position model. The record is from RNAcentral.
AUUGAACGCUGGCGGCAUGCUUUACACAUGCAAGUCGAACGGCAGCACAGGGAGCUUGCUCCUGGGUGGCGAGUGGCGAACGGGUGAGUAAUGUAUCGGAACGUGCCUGGUCGUGGGGGAUAACUACUCGAAAGAGUGGCUAAUACCGCAUGAGAUCUUUGGAUGAAAGCGGGGGACCUUCGGGCCUCGUGCUACUGGAGCGGCCGAUAUCAGAUUAGGUUGUUGGUGGGGUAAAGGCCUACCAAGCCUGCGAUCUGUAGCUGGUCUGAGAGGACGACCAGCCACACUGGGACUGAGACACGGCCCAGACUCCUACGGGAGGCAGCAGUGGGGAAUUUUAGACAAUGGGCGCAAGCCUGAUCCAGCAAUGCCGCGUGCAGGACGAAGGCCUUCGGGUUGUAAACUGCUUUUGUACAGAGCGAAAAGUCUCUGGCUAAUAUCUAGAGAUCAUGACGGUACUGUAAGAAUAAGCACCGGCUAACUACGUG